AACGGCCAUACCAUGCUGAAUAUACCGGUUCUCGUUAGAUCACCGAAGUCAAGCAUCAUUGGGCGCGGUCAGUACUUGGGUGGGGGACCACCUGGGAACACCGCGCGCCGUU
This 112-nucleotide ribosomal RNA is filed under the name Caerostris darwini. The record is from RNAcentral. Lineage: Eukaryota; Metazoa; Arthropoda; Arachnida; Araneae; Araneidae.